ACGUAUUGUGGUAUAUAUAUGAUGAAUAUUUUUGCAAGUUACUUUACAAGGGUGCCUUAAUUUGUUAAUAAAAAUGCAAAAAAAUUAGGACGAAUUCAAGGCGGGCCUCAGUGGGCUGGGCUGAAGCGCAUAAAAGCCCACUAAGGUUCACAGGCGUGUAUCUCACAUGAGGCAAUCCCUGUGUCCUGAUUGGUUGUUCGAACCCUCCCACGGAUCGCAGACAACCACCAUCUGAUCCUCCCGAAUCCAACGGCAAGGAUAACUCCCCCUCUUUCUUGUGUUUCUUUCCGUCCACGGUCCACCCACGAGCCACGACCCACGAGACGCCCACUUAUCUUCCACCGGGAGGAAGUGGAUCCAUGGCGGCCUCUUCCAGAUCCACCGCCCUCCACCCUCUCCAUCCAUGGCGGCCGCCACCACACAAAGACAAAGGCUGGCAGCCACCGCAACCUCGCCAUCCAUGGCAUCUUCCCCUCCGCAUCCUGAAGCCGCCGCGUUACCAGCCGCCGCAACCUCUUCAUCCACGAACAUCUACCUCUCUACCGCCGCAUCGACCAUCUGCCGUCACGACGUUAGCCUCGUCUAGUAGGCGGGGACGCCCCUAAAGGCGGACCUAGUGCAUGCGUCGCUGGUUCCCAUCUUGCUGCAAGGAGCGACCAGGUCCCUCGUGGGCGUGCAGAAGCUGGAUGGGCCGGACGCGAUGACUACGGGCGUGCUCAAGGUCCCGCUUCAGCCUCCACCUGAUGGAGUUUCGCCGCAUCGGACCGGCGGGAUCCUCGGCAGGCUGUGAGCUGCAAGUCCCAACAGGUCUCCCCUCCCCCUGUUGCUUUUGAUUUUCCCAGCCUUUCGUUUGUGAUUUCCCAAACCGUUCUUAGGAAUUCUUGACUUGGCAGGCACUACAGGUUCGAUGGUGUUUUCAUCGGUUGAGACAGAGUGCCGUUCAGCAGCAUGGUUUGAGGCGAGAUGGUAGCGAAAAUGGUGUCUCCCUCUGAUGACCUCGGCGGGUACGGCCGGGUCUGUGGCCAUAAAGGCACGGGGAUUAACGAAAGUUGAAAUAUGGCGAGCGCCGCCGGCGCUUGAAGAGCUGGAGAGUAGCUUAGUGUGUCUCCAGGAGAUAUUUGUAAUUUUAAGUUUUUACUGAUUUUUUUGCUCCUGUACAUGUGUAUUUCCUGGUCUGUUUAUGUAACAUCCAUUUUAGUGAAUGAAAUGAGCAUAUAUAUUUUUCGGAUAAAACAUAUUGCCUUAAAAUUUCCAUGGGCCAAAUAAGAGAAAUAGGAUGAGAGGUGGUUGUAUUGCUUGUAGUGAAAUAG
This 1310-nucleotide long non-coding RNA is filed under the name Triticum aestivum (bread wheat). RNAcentral's name for it is "long non-coding RNA (TAES_LNC018016)". Lineage: Eukaryota; Viridiplantae; Streptophyta; Magnoliopsida; Poales; Poaceae. The record is from RNAcentral.